CAAUAUAACUAUAUCAUAACUAGGUACCUACAUAAUAAUAUCUAGGGAUCUGUUUUUAAUUUAUACUUUGUUUUUUUGUUGUAGGUAUUCGGUGAUAAAUAAUUGUUUUCUUCUACUACGCCUUCAUCCUAAAUUUUUAAAGUCUACUAUCUUCGUUCUGAACUUCACUUAAUCUGAUCUCCCCCUCGUAUACUCCAGCUGUCCUUAUCAUUCUCAAUCGCAUUCAACCAUUUCCUA
Molecule: non-coding RNA, 237 nt
Organism: Cinara cedri
Lineage: Eukaryota; Metazoa; Arthropoda; Insecta; Hemiptera; Aphididae
Source: the annotation of a GenBank genome assembly